Molecule: long non-coding RNA, 6352 nt
Organism: Tympanuchus pallidicinctus (lesser prairie-chicken)
Lineage: Eukaryota; Metazoa; Chordata; Aves; Galliformes; Phasianidae
Exons: 2
Source: RefSeq, a predicted model, not a curated record
UCCAGUUUCUCUUUACAUGAUGCUGAGCCUGUUGUCAGAACACAUUGUGUAAUGUUUCUACAGUAUGGGAGUCAAGUGCAAGCUGAGGUGCUUUGUAGAGAAGAGAGGGCUCCCGGGGUGCAGGAGAUGCAGGUCUUCCUGGUGACCCUGAUGGAGCUGAAGAGCACAGGAAGAGUGAAUUCCAGGUUAGGGGUCAGAAACAUCUGUAUUUCUAGCACAGAGAAGUUCUGUCUUCUCUGUCUUAACUAAUAAAAGUUUUGCAAGAAUGCAACUUUUGCUACUUUUUUUCAGUUGGAGCUUUUAAUAGCCAGUGUUGAGAAGUGAUGCUGGUGUUUGGAGACUUCCAGAAGUCUGUUUUCUUUAGAUUUCUUCCCCCUUAUAGCCUUAAACUUGAUUUUUUCCUGAAGUUAUACUGUGCGGUGGGAGAAGAGGUCCCCUCUUGUCUUAUUUUGCAAGGUUGUGCUGAAAUAAAUGCAUGUAGUAGGCUGAGAAAUGCUUUCAUCUUUGAAUUACAAAAUGCAAAUUCUAGACCAUCUGUAUAGAUGUCCUUCCUCCGCUCCCCCCCAUCUGCUUAACAGCCUACAUCAGAUGUAGAAUAUUUCUUCGAGUUAUCAUGCUGUACUCCAGUUUGACAAAGCAUUUCUUGCACCAUGGAAGAGAGUUGAGAGCUUAUUCUGCAGUUCUUAUCCUUAAAAAGAAAGAAACAACACAUUUUCUGUAUUAUCUAUGCUUUGUAUGCAUCCUGGAAAAUGAUUAGGCGUGGGAAAACUGCAGAAAGCCUGCUUGCUGGAUGUAGGCCAACUAGUGGGUGGGAGGCAGCAGCACUUUGGAAUUUCAUAGAUGGAAAUCUCCGAAGAAUUGUAAUGUGAAUGUGGCUUUAUGGCGUUUGCAGUGGUAUAGGCAGUAGUAAGCAAUGUGAGCAUGGUGUGCCCAGAGAGUUCUUGCUUUUUUUUUUUUUUUUUUUUUUUUUUUUGUGACUACAAUAUAUUAAAUACAAAUAUUUCAGUGUUUCUCUGCUAGAAGUUGUAGGCUGUUGCUUCCUUAAAGCAAGUGUAUGUAAAUUUAAUUACACCAAGACGUCACCAAAUUUGUAUGUGUGCAUGAUUUUGAAGCAAUGGAAUGGAAUCUUAAUAUUGGCAAAAAAGAGGGAAGACCUUGGAAAAUUUUACUGCUCUUUUUAUCUUACUGCUUUCAGUUUAAGUAAGGGAAAGUUUGGCAUUGCUCUGUACAUGAAAUGUUUGAGCACUACAGCAUCGUAUUUUCAGUUGAUAAUCCUUUUAGGAAGAUUUCAUUAAUUCAUAACUUAUCUCUGAAAUUUUGUGGAAGUAUAUGUUAAUAUUUUGCCUUAGAGAUGGUUAGAAUUUUUUUUUCCCCCUUUUUAAGUUCUUCCCCCAAGAAGCCUCUAAACUCCGAAAUGUGAUCAGGAUCUACUUCACCAUCCUGUACUGUUAUUGUUAUUUGAAUGUUCAGAGACAUUUGGUCUGAUGCUUAGAGAGUUACUUCUCACAGCAAAGACAAAGUAGGAACUACAAUGCACAUGUUUAUAGCUUGUGGGAUUUGUUCUUUUGCCUUUAUUUCCAGUUGUGGAGUCAAGUGAAUGCUAUAACAUGUCUUAAUUUGGCACUUCAACACUUCAUUACUAAAAUUUAGAGGGUGUUUUUGAAAGCUAAUUGUUUUAGAAAACAGGAGUGUUCAACAAGCUAAAACUUGGGCAAUGGGAGAAAUAAAUAUCCCUUCCACACCUCCUUGAACUUUGAAAUGAAAAGUCUGAGGGCUCUAAAUGCCGCAUAUGAUUUUAGCUUUUUCAAAGCGCCUGCGUUUACAAUGUAAUUGUAUCCCUCUGAUUUGAUCUAUAUGACUUCUGUCUUUGAAUUUUAGAAUUCAACCAAUAGCUUUUAUUUUUUAGUACCUGACCAGGUUUAUUGAUGUUUCCAAAACAUUUUGAGAAGAUACACUAUAGGCUAUUUGUUAACCUUCUGUUCUAUGUUGGAAGCUGUUCUUUAAGGCAUCUAGCUUUUGGUCUUAAGCAAGUAAUGUGUGUAACAUUGUGCUGUAGGUUUACCUGUAGUGUUGACUCUCUUCUUUUGUUCAAUCUUUUUUUCUAUGGGAAGCAGAUCAAAAUAAAUAUCUAUUUACUUGUGCAUAUCUAAUUGCUAAUUGUAUGAAAGAGAGACUGUAAUUAGAGACAGUGUUGAAAGGAAGAGCCCAAGAAUCACCCAUGAAGCCUGAUUAGUUGUUGGUCAGUCUGUCUGGAUGUGUUAUAAUGGUUGUAGGCAACAUUGGUCCAGAUAGCUGAAGGAUACUAGCACAUAAAGUGCUGGGCUAUUUAAGUUCUGCUCCUUGCAGCGUUUGUUUGUCCAGAUGCUGAUUCUUAUUUAUGUUUCUGCCUUGUUGCCUUCAGUUUUUUGAAUGUUUUUAAAGACGCUGACUCAUGAACUAGAUUACCUUGUAAUAUGGUAUUCAGCUUAGUUUGAUUAAUAUUUUAUGUGCGUUCUUUUACUUGUUAGUUACCUUUUAAGCCACUGGAGGAUGUUGUAAAUGCUUCUCCAGCCUCUUGCCACGGCAUCUCUGCUGAAGGUUACAGUGGACAGGGAGAAAGUCUGAGGUUUUCACCUGGCUUAAUGUUAUGCAGCCUGCUAAAUAUGCUGUAAACAAAGUUGUUUACAGCUUUAAGGGAGCACGUAUGAUGAAAGUAUUUCCUUGCUGCAAAAAGACUUAAGAGCUCUUAAAUAUGAUUAUUAACAACUGCAAGAAAAAACGGUAAUUCUCACAUUUAAUGUAUGCUGUUAGCAACCAGCAAGGCAUUGAUAAGAUCAUGUUCAUCACCGUUCAGGUUUAGCACUGUUUGUAGGCUAGAAAGGCAUGUGAGGUUUACACAGGCAGGCUGCUUGGGAAUGUUCUCCUUCUCCUUACUGCCUUUCUCCUGAAACUGGUGGCAUGUUCAGACAUCUGAAGUGUACAGUCAGGCCACUUAUAGGCAGAUGACUGUCAGUGAGUCACACUAAUCCAUUUCACUUUCUUGUGAUACAAUAAAGGGUAAUUGCAAGGGUGAGGAAGCGACCUCAUUUGUGAGAGAGGCAUAUCUCUUUAGUCUUGGGAAUGGGAAGAUCACGUUUGCUGUGUUAAGAGUAACUUAGAGAAUAUGCCAUUUCCUCAGCAUAUUUUUCAUGUUGCUAUUAUCUCCAGGAAUUUACUGCAUUUUCAGUAUUUGCUAUUUUCAUUAUAGAAGUCAGGGAUGCUGCUUUUGCUCCAGAAUACUUGCAUUCUUACUGUAGUGCAUGUAACGUUUAAUGCAGAUCUGUCUUUCUGGACCACGAGCUUCCUGCUUGUUUUCACUGUUUUCAUUGCUUUGUGGAAUUAGAUAUUAUUGAUGCUUUCAAAUUAAGCUUGAAACAACACCUGCCACUAAACACCUAACCUUAAUCUGAACUUGUGUGGGGUGGGAAAAGUCAUGGGAGUGUGGUUUCUGAGGAAAUAAGGAAGUUACCUUUCCUAGAUAAGAUAUAGUCUCUUCUACCCCAUCAGCCCUGUGUGGUACAGAGCCCCAGAAGUCUCGAUUCUGUUGAAUCCAUGUUCUGCAGUCACGUUUUCUGGUAUAUAAAUUCAGAUGAUCUUUUAUUCUAUAUUCAGAUGAACUUUUCUGCUGUUUUGGGAGAUCAGAAUACAAGAGCAUAGGUCAAAAUCUAUGGAGAUAAGAAAUGGGGGAUUCUGAACAAACAUUAGUGGAGAAAAUAAUCUAGUGCAUUAAUACAAUUUACUUAGAUUUGCAGAAUUUCACGGAAUAUUUUGUAAGUCUUUGUAAAACAUUUGUGAGAAAAAAUGGUGUGAACUAAUUUGACAGAGAACCAUGUUUCUAGUGACCUUUUAAAUCUUUUGUUAAUCAGGUUUAUCUUGAAAGCACUGAAGACUGUUUUACUCUAAACAUAAUAAUUGCAGAUGAUAUGAGUAUGUCUGUUUUCCCAGUGCUGUAAUUGCAAAUCCUUAGUCUCCUAAAGGCACCUGUUUUGCUGUCAUCAAUUUCUAUUUGAGUGGAAAAUGUUAUCCAAAUUAUUAAAUAUCUCUUGGAUUGAAUCCUGAGCUGCAGUAUACUAUGAUCUGGAGAAGAAAGUGCAGCAGAAGAAUAAAUAGUCUUCUCCAUCAUAGAACUUGGAUUUUACAAAGGGGUAGCUUCAUACAGUUAAUUCAAGCUUGUAUAUUUUCUGAAUAAUUUCACAUUCUAGACAUUGAAAUCCAUGGCUGUUUAAUGUCUUAAUGAAAUCUUUGAGGAAGCUACAUUCCUGUCAACAGGGAAGUUGAAACAAAGGAGAGAUUUUGCGGUUUAUGAAUUAAACAAUUUUUUAAACUAUAUCCCUGUAUCUAAUACAUUGCUCUAUUUUAAAUCAGUUAUUAAUCUGAGCUGUUACAUAUUGACAUUAAACAGUUUAAACCAGCUAAGUUGCAUCUACUAAUUAUACUAAAUGAAUCAGAUCAGUAAGAUGAGAAUUUUGCCUAGUAUAAACAUCUUGUUUGUAUGGAGGACUAGUAAUUAACACUGUCGGAUUGGAACUUAAGAGUUAUUGCAAUGCAGGAAUAUUCUUAAUAGUGAUUUGUUUGUUUGCUUUGAGUUUUCUAUCUUCAUCCUGAGACUGAUACCUGUGGAAGCCUGCCAAGCUUUGUGUUGAUCUCUGAUACUAGGGCUGCUUUGAAAGUAAUGCCUCCUAUUUUGGCCAGUGGCAUGCUGAGAGUGUUUUAUAGUUCAGAAUGAGCUCCAUCAAAUCUUGUUGUUAUGCUCUUUGUAUCUUUUAUAGUUAUAUAAAGUAUAUAACUAUACUUAUAGUUUUAUAGUUUUUAUAGGAGGCAUUAUGUUCAGAAUCAUCUAGUAUGUAAACUGCUCUAUGAUAAUCAAUUGGUAACCAGUUGUUGCCAUUGUCACUUCAGUACUCGUGUGUGGAACUUUCAAACACAGCUAAUGAGGUGAUUGAUAAUUGUAUUGGGAGUUUUUACGAAGAACUUCCACUGUAAAUUAUAAAUUUGUUGCAGCUUUUUGGCCCUCAAGAUCUUAAACGGAAUGGGAAUAAUUCCAAGUGUCAUGGUUUUGUGUUUUUUGGUUUUCGGUAUUCCACAUCAUAACAUCAUGUGGGGCACUGGGACUUUAACUGAGUACCUGCCCAGAAGAGAAGAACUACAUUCCCCAGGGGACUUGGCGGUCAGGGAGAGGAGGUUCAACUCCUGGCAAGGUCACCUGAUGUGCUCUUUCUCGCCUACCUUUCGUCGUGGGCGCUGCUCGUUCUCCCUGCUGAUCACCUGGACUGCGCAUCUCACCUCAGCGUUGUGGUGAGGCCUAUCCACCUUUUGGACAUUCUCUCUCUCAUUAUAUUUGAUUUAUUAGCUUCAAUUCUGAUUAUAUUGUAUUAUAGUGUGUUAUCUUGCAUUCCGAUAAUAUAUUUAGUAAAUGAGUUUGUUUCUCCUCAGAUCGGUGCCACUGUUUUUAAUUAUUUUGGGGUUCCCUGUUUCCCUUUUUCCGGAGGCGUGGAUCUGUGGAUCCCUCUGCCCUGCUUGUCACGGAACUGGGCCGAACCAGACCGUAAACAGUUGACACCAAGAAUUCAUGGAAAAAAAAAAAAAGAGUCUUUGACAACAAACCAAAGCUAACCAAACUGGUGGAAUGGAACCUGAAAUCACUCUAGCUUUUACACAGCCUUGUGUUGGCACUGCAGCAGUUGAUGGCUGCUUGCUGGCUAGAGCAGGUUUUGGGAACAGUUUACUGAUGCACAAAGUAAAAUCUAAUGGUGAUUUUUAUUCCUGUGUGUGUUUCUGAACAAACAGAAAUUGAAAUUCACUAUCGCUUCUGCAUGUGAACCCCAGGCGCCUGGUUUACUGUGUUUUUUAAUGUAUCUGUAAUUUCAUAUGUUUACUUUUUUUAUAAAUGACUUGAUCACUAAUUUUAUUCAGAUGGAUGCGCUAUUGUAGUUAUACUUAGCAGUUUGCUUGACAGCCCUUUUCCCCUCCUUAAAUGUGAUUUACCCAGAAUAGCAUCUGGCCGUCACACUACAGUGGAACUAGAUCAUCCAGUCUACUGCUAUUACAAAGAAAAAUGAGGCUUGACACAUUUGUGUCAAUUUGGCUAGAUCCCUGACUGAUUAUGCUCAAUGAAAUAUGUGACGUUUCAAGUGGUCGUGUAAUGUGCAGGAGCACUUGCAGGAGGAACAUCGGGUGCUGCAAAGGAAAUGCCACCUUUACUGGUUCUGAAUGGCUCAAGUACUGCCAUGAGUUACCUGAUCAAUUCUCGGUUCUUGUCCAUUAAGGUAUAAAGCAGUGCAAAUUAAAAAAAAAAAAAAAAAAAAAAAAAAAAAAUAUAUAUAUAUAUAUAAUA